UCCCUAGAAGUCUAGUGGUUGAGACUCUGCGCUUUCAAUGCAGGGGAUGUGGCAUGGGUUUAAUUCCUUGUUGGGGAA
Molecule: transfer RNA, 78 nt
Filed under: Ovis aries (sheep)
Lineage: Eukaryota; Metazoa; Chordata; Mammalia; Artiodactyla; Bovidae
Rfam family: tRNA
About the family: Transfer RNA (tRNA) molecules are approximately 80 nucleotides in length. Their secondary structure includes four short double-helical elements and three loops (D, anti-codon, and T loops). Further hydrogen bonds mediate the characteristic L-shaped molecular structure. tRNAs have two regions of fundamental functional importance: the anti-codon, which is responsible for specific mRNA codon recognition, and the 3' end, to which the tRNAs corresponding amino acid is attached (by aminoacyl-tRNA synthetases). tRNAs cope with the degeneracy of the genetic code in two manners: having more than one tRNA (with a specific anti-codon) for a particular amino acid; and 'wobble' base-pairing, i.e. permitting non-standard base-pairing at the 3rd anti-codon position.
Source: Rfam by way of RNAcentral